AAAAAAAAAAAAAAAAACCGCAGUCCUGAGUUUCACCGACUUUUCUAUUCCUUAAAAAUAAAGAAACCCUAAACAGUGCCUUUUAAAACCAAAGCUUCAAAGAAACUGCAAAAUAAGAUGGAGCCGUUCAAACAUUUUCCUUGAGAGAAGGGGCAGGAGGGACACCCCUGGCAAAGCCGCCAGGGAGAGGGGCUGAGGGCACCGAAAGCAGGCACGUCCCAAAGUCCCCCCGCGGGCUGCAUCUGGGGACCUGGCAGAAAAGCCCCGCAGCUCUCAAAGAAAAUAUUUCGGACCCUAAAACCUUUCUUUUCUCACCCCCAGACCCCUUCUUCCCUCCCUCCCCCUGCAAGACGUUGCUCGCCCAGGUCCCAGCUUAUGUUACGGCCACUUUCUGAAUACGCUUUGGCGCUUAUGGGAUGAAAUAUUGUUAUUUUCCCCCUCCCGAUUUUUCUUUUUCAUUUUUCUUUCUCUUUUUUUUUUUUUUUUUUUUCCCGAGGAAAGAGACACAAACAGAUUUGGAUGCCACAGAGCCUGGAAAUAAAGUUAAAAACAAAAAAAAAAAAAAAAGAGGAAAUAUUUCCUACCUUAAAACACAACAGGAGGAGGUUGGGGGGAAGGGGAAGAGCGGGGCAGAGGGAAGGGGAGCAGAUUGGCGAGGAGAGCUGGGAAGGGGCCGUUUGGUUUGCGCCUCUCCCCCCCCCUCCUCCCCUUCCCUUCUCCUGGCCGGAGCCCGCUUUAAAAAUGACAGCUGCUAAGGUUUGUGAUUUUACUGGAAAAGUUCUGCGCGGGCUGCAGGAGCGGCUCGUGUGCCAGGCCGACCUGGGGCUGCGCCGGGGCCAAGGCGGGGCUGAGCAUGGCCAGGACCGGCGCCGGGGGGCCCGCCUGGCCGGCGGGGUAGGGCGCGGCGGGCGCGGCGCUGGGGUUGGUGCUGGGCGGCGGGGGCACGGCCCCCCCGAUGAUGUUGUCUAUGGAAAAAGAGGGCCGGGAGGGGUUGCCGCCGCCGCCGCCGCCGCCACCCGUGCCACCGCCACCGGUGGGCGAGGGGUCCGGCUUGAGGGUCUGCAGCAGGGCGGCGGGCAGGGCGCUGGGGCUGAGCUGGGGGUGGUAGAAGGAUUUCCUGCAGUUCAGCUCGCCGCCCAGGAACGAGGGCAGCCCCGAGGCGGCGGAGAAGACGGAGGCGGCGGGAGGCGGCGGAGCCGGUGGUAUAAACAUCAGAAAAAUAAUGGGAAAUGAAAAACCCAAACUGUCUGGGUCUGGAGCUACCUGAGAUGACAUAAAGGAGAAGAGGUCUCAUCUGCACAGCAGGAGAUGAAGGCUCACCCUGGUCCGAGACCCUGCUCCCGUGUAACGCUGGGCACCCCGGGAAAAGCCCUGGCCCUGUCUCGGGGCUGGCCGAGGCUCCAGGCAGUGAGCAGUUACUUGGAAGCUGUUGGGAGCGUUCAGACAGCUCCCAGCCUCGCAGGGGUAGGAGCCGGGUGGUGGAGUAUGUGUGACAGACGGACAGAGCAGCAGGACAGAGGUGGGCAGGAACCAGAUCGAGCCCUGCUGCUGAACAAGGAAAGCCAACACAGGCAGACAUAAAUUCCCACCUAUGCUUCCUCACUCCAUGUGCUGUUUUUGCCCUAGAUAUUCUAUAAAAAGCUGGAAGGCUGUAAUAAAAACGGCUACCACAAGCGAGACCUGUCUCUUUCUUUAAAACAAGGCAAUGCAGAAGGAGUAAGUCAAGUUUGCUAUGUGCAAGCUUUGCCAGCAUCUGCUGCCUGCUCUGUCCUUGGCACCGUAACGGGACCCUGGGGAAGGGAUGAGCGGACCCCACCCGACAGCAGCCAGCAGAGCAGCAAGCAGGUGAGCAACCCAACGCAUCCUCCAGCCUCUGAGCUAUGCCCCGAUGAUACGUGGCCUCCCAACGGGGCUCAAACCUGCCCCGAAAUACCCCCAACAGCUACCACCAACCACACGCACGUGGAUGUCCUGUGCUGGAAGCCACAAGCACCGGCUGUGCACUUCUCCCAGACACAGAAGGAGACAACUACAGCGAACGAGCACUUCUCCUGGACUAACUCAGCCACCAGGGUAUUUGUAGGUAACGGUGCAGCAACACCCAGGCAAAUCAUUUCCUCACUAACAGGAUGGGUAUGGUACAGGUAAAGAUUUUACCAAACUGGGGAAAAACUUCCAAAGAACAGAACUUGUAAACCCUUCUUCACCCUCGUGGUGAAGUUUUUUUCCACUCCAACUAUUUAAGAUUUUCUGCUCAGAAUUAUAUUUCAUAUAAAAAUUGAAGUUUUCUUUCAUUCCUACGGAAAUAAAGGGGAAGAAAAAUAAGUGCUUGUCUCCUGUUUUCUGUUUACAAAAAAAUACUACUCUUAAGAGAAGUAUCUGUUUAAACUUGAGGGAAAAUGUAAAAGAUUCUAAGAGACUUUGAAAACCAUGAUUGGGACAAAGCUUGGUUUGGAGUUUUAGAGCUUUGGCUUCUAAAAAUUUGGUGCAUUCAUGGUUUGUUCGUUCAAAGACAAAUACCAACAUUUGUGAUAAUCAAUAUUUAAUUUUCCUUUUUCCUGGAAAAAGGAAAAUGCCCCAGCUCCAUAUCUCAUGGCCAAAACCCAAUCCAAAGAAGGGGGCAGGCAGGAGGGCCAGGCUGAGCUGUGCCUCGCCCUGCUGGCUCUGCUGCCCUUCCCAUUGCCCUUAGUCAAAAGAAGCAGUGGAACAAACCGUGACACAAAUUCCUGAGGACAACCCCUGCGAGAGCAGAUCUUUACACGGAGCCUUGGUCUCCGACUUUCCAACCACCUCCUUAACAGCCAUCCCUUCCCAGCAGAGCCCAGGUGCGCGCCAUCCAGGUUUCUCCGGGGGAUGCGAGGUAGGCAAUUAAAGCUCAGCGCCCUGCAGGGCUGUUUCAUGAGGCCAUGUAAACAAGCAGCAGGUCCGUGGGAGAACCUGGCCCACCAGGUCUGCUGAAAGCCUCUGCAAACAAGCCUCUGCUGCUGCCCCAGCACUUGCUGGCUGUCAUGCAAGAGGCAAGUUUGCUGUACAAUCUGCAUCCCAUCCCAAACCCACCGAGGCUUGCAUUUUUCAGUCAAAUCAAGGGACUGACACCCAAACACUGCACAUCAGAGCUCCCAGGCAAGGAUUUCACUGCAAAAGUUUCCUUUUCCCUCAUCCUUCCAUUACCCUCCUGUAACUGCUGGACUGAUUAGCUGCAAGCCCAGGCAGACAGGUAAAAUCCCACCUCGCUAGCUCACUGCCAAUUCUUCUUCCUCUGUUUAAUGCUCCUGCCAGGAGCGAUUCCAUUCACUCCAAACACAAUAGCCUUUUCCCUCCCCUUAGGCCAGGAGCACACCUCUGCCGUGGAAAAUUUCCCUGUCUUAUACCUCCGAUGCGAUCUGCCUGCAGCCAGCCUGGCAGGUUGGCUUCUUUCACACUGCUUAAAAUGCUUGUGAAACAAAAGCCCUUUAAUCCCUCCUGGCUGGGCCAGAAACCUCUGUCCGUCCCCUCCUGGUAGUGCAGGAGGAGGGAUCUCAGCCGGAGGUGCAGGGUGCCCAGGAGCUGGUGGCUGGAAGCUGGGUAGGACAUUGGGGAUGGAGCUGGGAGCAUGUCCCAGCCAGGGUGCAGAGCUGAGGCCUCAUGUCGAUGAUGAUCUGGGGGGAAGAAGAGCAGAGAUCCUCCAACCAGCCCCAUAUGCUUGCCUGGAGAAGAGCCUUCAAGGCCCACAGAGCUAUUGGGGAGCCAAAGGCUGGCAGCCAAGCACUCUGCUGGGCAUCCUAAAGCCUGGCAAGAAAAGAAGUCCAGGAGCAAGGCACCUGCCCUUGUGUUCCCCAACGCCUCUUCCCAGCUCCCCUGCCCCAAAUCCAUCUCACCACACAUCUGUGCUGGUGCAGAAAAAGGCUGGCUGGAGGGGAGACAACACGACUCAGGUUGUAGAGACCUCAGAUCUCUGACUCCACAGGUGUCCAGUGACUAAAAUUUCAUGCAGUGACUUCAAAGUGCAUAUGGUGAAAGAAGAGGAUCUCCAGCCACAACAGGCCCAUGUUCCUCACAUAGUUUCCUCAGGAUAAGGGAAGAGAGAUGAUUCAGACUCAGAUCAGACUGGACAGGCAUGAAUCAGAGUGUUAUCACACAUUGUUCCUUGCCAAAGCUAGACCUGCCCUGUGCCACCUGGGGCUGGCAGAAGCAACCCAGAAACCUUUUUAUUUGGGUGGCUCACAAGGAUUCAAUCAGCUCCUUCCCACCUACCACUUCCAAAGCACCUGUGGGCAGCAGGGUCCUCCAGCUGAGAUGGGAAUCUGCAUCACACCAGUGUUGGAUGCAGGUGGGCAGCUGGCACCAGCACCCAGAUUUGGGCUGCUUCUGUCAGCACAGAGUGCCCCUAGCUCUGGGGUAGCUGCUGAGGAGGCCCACACCACGCUGCUUUUUCUCCUGCCCCAGCCCUGUCCCACUGGGUGAUGGGGCCGUGGUGGAUACAGCCGCAUCCCGGCUCACCAAGCUGUGGGCUUUGCUGAAUUGCUUCUGCUUGGGUGAGAAACAGGCGAUGCCAGGCAGCCUCGGCCUCUGUGCUGGAGCUCCAAGCUCACCCCUCUUUCUGGUGGCUUUUUGCCUUCACACAUGCUUUUCCCCAACCGGCUUUUCCUGCUCCCAGCCCUCAUCCCAUGCGCUCUGACUCAGGUCACUGCUUUGCCCAGCUGGCAUCAGGAAAUCCCCUUGGCCCACGCAGGGUUGGCACCCAGACCAGUUCCGAGGCCUCCUUCCCAGGGCUGCCAAUCGUGUUUUCAUCACAGGUUUCUCCAAGGGGGAAGGAUUUGUUCACACUUCAUUGUUCUUCCCUUACGCGUGAGCACUGCGAUCCUCCGCGCGCAGCCCAGAGGGCAAAGGCAGAGCUCGCACUGCUGACGGUGCUGAAAGCAGACAGAUGGCAAAAGCUCCCCGCUCCUUUUCAAGCCAGCCUCAAGAAUUUGGCUGCCUGAGCAACCAGCCCAAGGAGUUUGGGGUCCAGGUUUGCCAGGAACACAGCCCAGUGCUGCCCAAACCCCUUGGUGGCAGCAAGGGCAGGCAGUGGGCACAGCAGACGCUGGAGCCAUCACCAAGGGCUCUCAUGGGCCACCAGCCGAGAGCUGACAUUGGGCUAAUUGCAUCAAAAUUCAUUAGGUUACUUACUGCCUGCGUUCCCAAGUGGCUGGAGAAGGACGCCAGCAAGCAGCGACGCGUGCCGUGGCUGUGGGCACCACCUCCCCAUGGAUGGUGCCAGGACUUCAGGGAGGCUCUGCCUCCUUCCCCGCUGUUUUUCCCCUCCAUGCUCUCCAGUCACCAGCUUGGCAGCCCCAUGCUCAGCAACCGCAGCGACACCCGGGAUAGGACCCGGCCAGGACAAAAAGUCACCAUUAACCUCGUAUAUCUGGGGAGCUCCCCCUCAAACCACCUGGGGAACAGGAUGGGAAAGAGCCACAGGAUUUAGGAAACCAGUGGAGGAUGAUUUUUCAUGUGGAACAUCUUUGCUCAGCUACACAGAAGAAACACAUCACAACCAGGAUGGGUUCACGGCUGCUGGCCAUCGCUCAGCAGCAUCACUUGGAGAAGAAGGAUUAGAAACACAAGAGGAAAGCUUGGUUUUAUGCCCAGGGCUCCAGCACCGUGCCUGCUCCCUCUUACCUGCUGCAGCAUCAUAUUGGAAAGGGAGAUAAUGUCCACCACCUGCCUCACAGGUGCAUUAACUCAUUAACCCAUACAGACAAAGGGAAGCGCUCAGAGCAUGGAGAGCAUCACUGCCUGAUGCCAGCACCACUGAACGACACCCAAAUUCUUGCAAACAACAGGCAAAAAAC
RNAcentral lists this long non-coding RNA (5816 nucleotides) under Cairina moschata (Muscovy duck). RNAcentral describes it as "domestica (muscovy Duck (domestic type)) lncRNA (ENSCMMG00000013160.1)". The record is from RNAcentral. Lineage: Eukaryota; Metazoa; Chordata; Aves; Anseriformes; Anatidae.